UACCUCUGGGUCUGGUGUCUGAGUCUAAAUUGUAUGUCUUUUAUACUCUUUUAUUUAAUUUUUAUUGUGUGAGAGAUUCGCUGCUCGGUACAGUAUAUAAUCACUCAGUUAAAGGAUGUGCUUGGUUUUGUUGCUAACUUGUGUGUAAUUUGUCAACACUGGCCUAUCCCUUAAGCUUAGGAGCGUUUUUAUGUCAGAAUGAUCAGAAAUCAGAGUUAAGUGACUUGGCUAAAAUACAAUGUGGGAGAAUGAUUAAUGACUGAAAAUGUUUUUUUUUCCCUGAGUGAAACUUGCUGAGAAAACAGCUAAAAAUAUAGCUGAAAAAAACUUCAGGGAGCCUGAAGAAACACCUAGAUCACCUUUUAAAUGUCAAAAGAAAAUCUGACUACGCUAAAGAUAAUAAAGAAACUUAAUCCUAAUAAAAAUAACUGGUGUCUGAAGCCCUAAAAACACAUUUUCAAUGUUCACUCAGAAAAUAUCAAAUAUCUUCAGGAGUUUUUUUAUUUUUGCUUAACAAUAAAAAACUAAACAAAGAGUUUUUUUAAAAUAACAAAUAAUUUAACAGAACCUAAACAGAGGCUUAAACAGAAUACCCACACACAAAGACUAUCUAAACAGCUCCAAAACAACUUUAAACUCAUCGUUCACGCAGGAAUGACUUCUGUACGAUGAACAUCUCGUCAGCUUUAGAAAUUGUUUUUCAACAUCAUAUCACAUACAGCUGAGCUGGUUUCACCUCAUUUGUAUUCAAGCAGCCAAAAAUACAAUUAAAGGGAGGAAACUACGGAACAUAACAUGGACACAUUAAUGUGAAGAAAAAUGAUUAAUGAUCGUUUACUGAAUUUCUUUUGAUUCUUUCAAUGAAGUGAAAUGUAGGUGCUUUACGCUGACGUCGUUAGGUCCGUUUUAGGGGGGCUUCAGCCCCCCUAAAAUAAUCACAAGCCCCCCUAACAUUUUGGUUUAUUUUAUUUUUUUCAGUUAACUUUUUUUUAUUUGUUCACAUCUACAUGCUGAACACAAUCACGACACGUGUAGUUGGUACAUGAGUUUUUUAGUCUGAAACAGAAAUAAUAAUUAAUGAAUAUAGAACUACACCGUCACACACAGGAAGUAUCAAGAAAGAACUUCCUCCACUUCCUUAAGCCCGCAGCUUUGUUGACAAGUCAGGGGGCGGGUCGAUACAGAAAAACCUAUAUAUCGAUGAGCAAACCCUGCUCAGCGCUCAUAUGGAUAUACGAAGAUUUUUUAAGAGAGUGAGUGAGGAACAGGAGAGAGACCAGGUGGUUGAUGCUGAGGAGAUCUGCAUGGUCAAGAUCCAGAUCCUCACCUGGAGCUAAGCCGGUUCUGUCUCAUUCUCUGCUCCUGCAUCUGACGGGUGUUCUCCAAUUUGACCGGGCUGGGGAUGAAGCCCACCUCACAUCCCUCCUUCACCAGACGCCCGAUCCACCAGUCGUUGUUGUACUUCUGCACUCAGCAAACGGCCAAAACACCAACAUGUGUUUUACCAUUUCCAUUGUUACACAUCAGUCUCAGUCUUCACUUAAACCAGGACACAAUAGUACUGAUCAGCACUCACAUCUGGCUGCUUUGUGUGGAGGUGCUACGUAACCAUAGCAACAACAUAAAUGCUAACUUGUUGGAAGUGCAAACGUACAUCUAUGGUUUUCCAGAUGUGAACCAAGCGAUGUUGGCUGACACGUCUAUCCCUCCAGGAACGGGUUUUUACAAAGAUUUUAUGUUUCAUAAUAUCAAGAAACUCUUUUUUUCAAUAACUGGAUUGAAAUCAAUGUUUAGGUAGAAAUCAAGAAAUGAUGUGACUACAGAUCACUUUCAUAGCCAAUUAAAAUCUAUACAAUUAUAUGAUGUUUGACCAAAACCAAAUAAGUAACAUUUAAUUUAUAGAGGUAAACGAAUGUAUUUAUCCUCAUAAAUUUCAAUAAUGGCGUAUAAAUGAUGGUAUUGGUAUGCUAUUCUAAAACAUUGUUUACGUUUCAAUUGGUUUGGGGGGUUGGGGUGAUGCUUCUGCCUGUACCCAUUUUUGAACUGUUUAAGUUGUGUGUUUACUUGUAAACCUUCAAAUUUUUUUUAUUAUAUAUAUUAAAGAUAAAGAUGUAUCAGUAUCAACAAAA
Long non-coding RNA from Nothobranchius furzeri (turquoise killifish), 2129 nucleotides. RefSeq lists it as uncharacterized. The record is from RefSeq and is a predicted model, not a curated record. NCBI's taxonomy places the organism in Eukaryota, Metazoa, Chordata, Actinopteri, Cyprinodontiformes, Nothobranchiidae.